Molecule: ribosomal RNA, 696 nt
Filed under: Triticum aestivum (bread wheat)
Lineage: Eukaryota; Viridiplantae; Streptophyta; Magnoliopsida; Poales; Poaceae
Description: partial small subunit ribosomal RNA
Source: RNAcentral
AUGAGGGCCCUAACAAACGAAGAGCGCAUCUCUUGGGACGGGCUGUCCCAGCAAUUAGGCGGCCAUCGCCUUCGGGCGGGGGCUGACACUGUCAAGUGGAGUUUGACAGCAUCCGGGAAAUUUACAGUGAAGUCCUUAUAUAACAAGCUAACUGGAGGGCCAGUGCUUGACAUAGCAAAGGGUCUGUGGAAGGCAGGCCUGCCCCUGAAGAUCAAGAUCUUUAUGUGGCAAAUGCUCAGGAAUAGGCUGCCUACUUCGGACAACAUAGCUAAACGGAACGGUCCGACCGACGGCACAUGCGUGAUCUGUGGGCAAGGGGAAGACGCGAAUCAUGUCUUCUUCCGGUGCCACCUGGCCAGGUUUAUGUGGAGUGCAGUUCGGGAGGCCUUCCACAUAGACUGGAACCCCGUUUCGGGGACAAAAUUGGUAUCGAUUCUAAAAUCCACUAAGGGGACCUCUAGCAGAAUCGCCUGGCGUUGCGUAGGGGCGUUACUAUGGGCACUUUGGACGACGCGAAACAAAAUUACGAUUGAAAAGAAAUUUCCUAACCACCCUGCAGACAUGAUCUUCAAAUGCCACCUAUUUUUGCAGAUGUGGACACCGCUGGGGAAGGAGUGCGAUGCUGAGCGCAUGACAGAAGCCAUGGAGCAUAUCAAGUCAAUUCAGACGAGGGCAAGACAAAACAUGACGAGUUGA